RNAcentral lists this ribosomal RNA (433 nucleotides) under uncultured bacterium. Its description in RNAcentral is "partial 16S ribosomal RNA". It matches the Rfam family "Bacterial small subunit ribosomal RNA", at positions 29 to 507 of the family's 1533-position model. The record is from RNAcentral.
AACGAACGCUGGCGGCAUGCCUAACACAUGCAAGUCGAACGAGACCUUCGGGUCUAGUGGCGCACGGGUGCGUAACGCGUGGGAACCUGCCCUUAGGUUCGGAAUAACUCCCCGAAAGGGGUGCUAAUACCGGAUAAUGUCUUCGGACCAAAGAUUUAUCGCCUUUGGAUGGGCCCGCGUUGGAUUAGCUAGUUGGUAGGGUAAAAGCCUACCAAGGCGACGAUCCAUAGCUGGUCUGAGAGGAUGAUCAGCCACACUGGGACUGAGACGCGGCCCAGACUCCUACGGGAGGCGGCAGUGGGGAAUAUUGGACAGUGGGCGGAAGCCUGAUGCAGCAAUGCCGCGUGAGUGAUGAAGGCCUUAGAGUUGUAAAGCUCUUUUACCCGGGAUGAUAAUGACAGUACCGGGAGAAUAAGCUCCGGCUAACUCCGUG